Non-coding RNA from Pelobates cultripes (western spadefoot toad), 390 nucleotides. The record is from the annotation of a GenBank genome assembly. NCBI's taxonomy places the organism in Eukaryota, Metazoa, Chordata, Amphibia, Anura, Pelobatidae.
GGAAGUCAAAGGCCAUAAGGCUAGUUUGGUUGAGAGUUGGUGCAAGGAAAGUUCUGAAUUAGGAGGCAAUGCUUCCAGGAACGACAAAACCUGAGAAACAUCCCAGAAUUGGGUGUAUUGAGGGAGCCGAGGGUCGAGAAAGACAAAUACCCUGUAACAACCUGCAAACAGAAGGAUGUUUCCAAACCGGAAAUGCGUCAAUCGGUAUAUGAGCUGCCAAAAUAGCAGAACGAAGAAUGUUUAUGGUAUGGUAAGACUUUCUUUUGUCAACAGGGGAAGAUAGGAAGUUCAUAAUAUUCACCAAAGUAGUUUGAAAAUGUAUCAAUAUCCCUUUCCAAACACCAGCUAACCCAAAAACGCCAUGUGGAAAGGUAUGCUCUACGAGUUCCG